AUUUAUUUUAGUAUUACAUGAUUUUUCAAUAAAACCAAACUCAAAGUAUUAGUCUAUAAUAGUCGUGGAUUUAUAAAUUAUUUGAGUAGGUUAUUCUCAUAAAUUGAUAUUUAUAUAAUCAAUCAUCGAGGGUGAAGAAUACGUAAGGAGAUCCAUCAUCAUAUUCUUAGGUUUCUAGAAUCCAACACUUCCCUCUCUUAAAUUGGUUUAAGACGAACGUUGUUUAUGAAUUAUUUGUAUGAUGCACUUUUGAGAAUGUUAUUAGA
Molecule: small RNA, 266 nt
Filed under: Arabidopsis thaliana (thale cress)
Lineage: Eukaryota; Viridiplantae; Streptophyta; Magnoliopsida; Brassicales; Brassicaceae
Description: ATSL086560
Source: RNAcentral